AUUGAACGCUGGCGGCAGGCCUAACACAUGCAAGUCGGGCGGUCCUCUGGAUCAGCUUGCUGAUUCGCUGACGAGCGGCGGACGGGUGAGUAAUGUCUGGGGAACUGCCUGAUGGAGGGGGAUAACUACUGGAAACGGUAGCUAAUACCGCAUAACGUCGCAAGACCAAAGAGGGGGACCUUCGGGCCUCUUGCCAUCGGAUGUGCCCAGAUGGGAUUAGCUAGUAGGUGAGGUAAAGGCUCACCUAGGCGACGAUCCCUAGCUGGCCUGAGAGGAUGGCCAGCCACACUGGAACUGAGACACGGUCCAGACUCCUACGGGAGGCAGCGGUGGGGAAUAUUGCACAAUGGGCGCAAGCCUGAUGCAGCCAUGCCGGGUGUAUGAAGAAGGCCUUCGGGUUGUAAAGUACUUUCAGCGGGGAGGAAGGUGUUCUGGUUAAUAACCGCAGCAAUUGACGUUACCCGCAGAAGAAGCACCGGCUAACUCCGUGCCAGCCGCCGCAGUAA
RNAcentral lists this ribosomal RNA (506 nucleotides) under uncultured bacterium. RNAcentral describes it as "partial 16S ribosomal RNA". It matches the Rfam family "Bacterial small subunit ribosomal RNA", at positions 30 to 523 of the family's 1533-position model. The record is from RNAcentral.